CCGCCGCGGUAAUACGUAGGGGGCAAGCGUUAUCCGGAAUCACUGGGCGUAAAGGGUCCGCAGGUGUCCCGUUAAGUUAGAUGUUAAAUCGCAAGGCUCAACCUUGCGGCUGCAUCUAAUACUGACAGGAUAGAGGAUAGGUGACGGAAGUGGAAUUCCUGGUGGAGAGGUAAAAUCCGUAGAUAUCAGGAGGAACACCCGUGGCGUAGGCGGCUUCCGAACCUAUUCCUGACACUCAGGGACGAAAGCUAGGGGAGCAAACAGGAUUAGAUACCCUGGUAGUCCUAGCUGUAAACGAUGAAUACUAGAUAGUGGGUGCUACACCGUACUCACCGUCGUAGCUAACGCGUUAAGUAUUUCGCCUGGGAACUACGAUCGCAAGUUUGAAACUCAAAGGAAUUGACGGGUCCCCGCACAAGCAGCGAGGCAUGUGGCUUAAUUCGAUGCAACACGAAGAACCUUGCCUGGACUUGACAUGUUUCUGAAAGGCCGGAGAAACCCGGUCCCUUCCAGUUUACUGGAACAGUUUCACAGGUGGUGCAUGGUUGUCGUCAGCUCGUGUCGUGAGAUGUAAGGUUAAGUCCUUAAACGAGCGUAACCUUUGUCAUUAGUUGCCACCGGUUCGGCCGAGCACUCUAAUGAGACCGCUAGCGACAAGCUAGAGGAAGAUGGAGAUGACGUCAAAUCCUCACGUCCCUUAUGUCCAGGGCCGCACACAUGCGACAAUGGUAGAGACAGCGGGUUGCGACGGGGUAACCCUGAGCUAAUCCAUAAACUCUGCCUCAGUACAGAUCGAGGGCUGAAAUUCGACCUCGUGAAGAUGGAGUUGCUAGUAAACGCAGGUCAAAUAUACUGCGUUGAAUA
Molecule: ribosomal RNA, 864 nt
Filed under: uncultured Caldisericota bacterium
Lineage: Bacteria; Pseudomonadati; Caldisericota
Description: bacterial SSU rRNA
Rfam family: Bacterial small subunit ribosomal RNA
Source: RNAcentral